Molecule: long non-coding RNA, 6977 nt
Filed under: Homo sapiens (human)
Lineage: Eukaryota; Metazoa; Chordata; Mammalia; Primates; Hominidae
Description: non-protein coding lnc-CCDC71L-1:11
Source: RNAcentral
AUCUUGUACCGGGCAGCAGGAUAUUCGCCCGCGUCGGCCGCCCGGGGCGGCGACUUUAGGGCAGAAGACGGGGCUGGGUUGGAGGCGCGGGAGGAGAAGGUGGUGUACUCGCGGUCGCAACUGUCGCUGGCUGACAGCACCAAGGCGCUGGGCGACGCCUUCAAGCUCUUCAUGCCCCGCAGCACGGAGUUCAUGAGCUCGGACGCGGAGCUCUGGAGCUUCCUCUGCAGCCUCAAGCACCAGUUCUCCCCGCACAUCCUGCGCAGCAAGGACGUCUACGGCUACUCCUCCUGCCGGGCCCUGGUACCCGACCCCCCGGGGCCCCCUACAGCCCGCGGCCAGGCGCGCCGGCCGGUUCCGCGCGCAGCGGCCAGGAGGAGGCGCCGCGGAGCCCGGGCGGCCGCUGCCCGCAGGAGGAAGCCCCGGCCGCCACCCCCACCGCCGCCGCCCCCCGAGGAGAGCUGCCCGGCCAAGCCCGUGGCCCCCGGGCCCUGCUUCGGGGGCCGCACCUUGGAGGAGAUCUGGAGGGCGGCCACCCCGACGCUGACCACCUUCCCCACCAUCCGCGUCGGCAGCGACGUGUGGGGCGAGCGCAGCCUGGCGGCAGCGCGGCGCAGGGCGCGCCAGGUCCUGCGAGUGAACCUGGAACCCAUGGUGAGGCUCCGCCGCUUCCCGGUGCCCCGGGCAUGAGGUGCGGCCUCCAGGGCGCCUCCUGCCGGCCCCGACCUUGGGACAGGCCUUCCGCCCGGAGGAAUGAACAAGUGUCAGUCGAGUGUUUACAGAUCCGGCCAGGACCCCGGCCCCCAAUGCACUUUACGCGCGAAGAAGUUGCCGGAUGGUUGUCCCUGUCCCGGGCCGCGGCGCGGUCGUCUUGGACGCUGGGGCAGGUGUGCCCUCUGCUGCCUCCCGUACCCGGCCUGCGGAGGGAGGGGACAGCUGGACCCGCAGGGGAGGUCCCUUUCUUCCUGACCACCGAUUGAGACGUCUCCAGGACCUUAGGGGCAGAUCCGUUUUCUCACUGUUGGACUCUACCUCACUGGUCUGGAAGUCCUCCGAAGACAUUAUUUUUCCAAAGGAAUUUGGUUUCGUGCUUGUGUAAUAAAGCCAGAAUUUACUUGUUCUUUAUCUCCCCCUUUUUCUAUUUCACUGUCACCCCUCUUUGUGGACAGAAGUUCGAACAUGUGGUGUUGCACUAGUUUGUGCUCAGGGUAUUCUGAAGCCCACUCGUUUCCUAAUUUUUACUGGAUUCCAAAGCUUUGAUCGAGGAUAUUUUUUAAGAGGUUCAAGCUUGUGACUGUUAGUAGUGCAAGGAUUUGUAUGGGCUCAGUGAUUACAAACAAAGACAUGCAAAAUACAACUGUUUAAACAUUUUCAAGGUAUUUUUAAAGGUUUUGUAUUGAAACAAUGUUUAUAUUUACUGAGCUCCUAAAAAUGGUAGAAUACACAUGAAAACUUUUGUUUAGGAAAAGUUAACUUGUUAAAUUCUUUUGAAUUGAAUAAAAAAAUGCAUUGAAACCAUAUGGUGUGUGAUUAAAAAAAAUGAAUAAAUUGUGAAGAACUGGUUUUGGUUACAGGAGUCACUGGAAUCCGACUGGAGAUGAUUUGGCCCCCUGUCCUGGUCUAACAUACAAAUCUAGGAAUAUUAUGCGUUAAAGUAUUUUAAAAUACAUUAUCCUUGUAAUGUAUUUUACAAGGAUAAUGUAUUUUAAAAUGGGAGUUGCAUAGGAGAGAUGGAUGUGUGUAAACAUUAUCACUAAAAUGAUAAACAGAAUACCCAUUAGAAUUCUUAGAACUAUUAAUGAUCAAGAGGGGUGGAGGCAUUUCUUGGUAUCAAAUAACUGGUUAAGGUUACUUUGGGCGAAAUCUAUUUCCUUUUUGUUUUUGUUGUUGGAUAACAAGAAAUGUCUAGACUAAUAUUCAUCAGUUUUACAAACAUAAUGAAAAUUAGUUGAUUUUUAGUUGAUUUUUUUGUCCCAACAUUUUUUUUAACCUUUUUGCCACUCAUUAUAUGUUUGCAGUUCUAGGUCUUUGACAGCUGAAGACCACAGGAAUCAAACAGGCGAGACACACAGAAUACUGACCCUUCUUUACGCUUUUAUAGUGUUUAUACCAUAUGGCCCAGUGUGGAAUUCUUGAUUAUCCAAGUGCCUUUGGUCAUUUGUGGCAGGAAAACUUAAUAGUUUUUAGCCAGCAGUGCCACAGCCAGCUUUUACUGCAAUACCUAAAGGGUCAAGUAGUGUUUUUGUACCACUAUUAUUUCAAAUUUAAGUAUUCUGCCAUGAAACGAUCCAUACUGGGCUGGAACUUGACAUGUGAAAUCUUUAAUACUAAAGCUUAUCUCUGCUUGGCAGCUUUUUAGGAGAAUAAUGAGAGUUACAAUUUUGACUCUUGCGUUCCUAGAAUUCAAAUGGCAUAGCUUUCUGAAAUGAGUAUUUCAAGUUUAGUAGUCCGUAUAGGAGUGUUGUGACUUCAAUUUCAGUGUUCUUGUUAAAAGAAAUAAUAUGAUAUAUAUAUACACACAUAUAUAUAACUUGAUGCCAGUUUUCUAGUAAGCCUCAGUCUUUUAUUCACUACUCAAUGAUAAUGCAUUGUACAAACACUGUCACAUGAGUAAAUAAAAAUGAAUAAUUCCUUAGAAGAUGGAGAGUGUUAAAUUAUAUUUGUGAUAGGAAGCUUAGACAUAUCUUUUGGUUAUUAGCUUCCAUUGCCAAUUGUAUUUCAGAUGCAUAGGGUUUUCUUCCCAAAAAUAUAUUGUUAACUUUUAUAGCUAACUAGCACCUGGAAAAAAUGUAUUUGUACAACUUUACUAUUGUAUAUAGUUUUAUAAUAAUGAAAAAUAAACCCAAUGGCCAUAUUAGAAUGCAAUUUCGACAUACAGCUUAUCUAGAUAGUUUUCCAGAGGAUUUUGAAAUUUGGCUUAACUGGGAGGAUAACUGCUCAGCACACCACUGAAACAUAACCACUGACACCAUUCAUUUAUUUUAACUGAGAUUCUUGACAUUUUUCUCUCCUAUGCCUUGUUACUUUAGCAUACUUGAACUCACAUAAAUGCUUCUUUGGAUUACAUGGGCUAUCUGAUUCCAUUUUGGAUCUGAUUGUCCAUCUUGAAUUCAAUAUGGUAUUCAUCUGGACUAUUCAAAAAUUAUGCCAUUUCUAGUCUGUGAAAUAAGAUGUAAAAAAUCUUUAUUUUUGCCCUUUGGUAAAAACCUAUGUGACAACUUUUAAAAUGUGAAGCAACAUCUAAUAUAGUUGACUGGUAUACUAAUAGGAAAGUGAAAGUAUUUCAUGGGUACUUUGUCACAGAAUGUGAAAAGAAACUUGGCAUAGUGGCCUUUAUAAUGAGGCAUCCACUUACUCCUCUGAAGUGAAGUCUGUAGCUUAGCUUGUGUAUAGUUUUUGAAAGAAAUCUCAUGAUCUUCGUUCAUUCUCUUGCCUUCUCUUUUAUCUCAUAUGGCACAAGUAGAGGGGGAAGCCAGGAGGAAAUUCAUCACCUCGCUAUGCUUUUAUUUGAUUUUUAAUUCCUGAGUGCCUAAAUGUGGUGACCGGCACCUCACAUAACUUUUUGAGAUUCUUGAUGUCAUUUUUAUCCUUCCUGUCAACCAGCAAUGUAUUUUUAUGUUACUAAAACCAGUAACGUCAUAAUUGUUGAGGGCAAGCUUCAUUGUUGAUAGUGCAAAGUGUCGCUGUUGUGAUGUGUGUUUAUUUUAUUCAAGUUUGAAUAUUGACAAGUGUAACUUAAGCUGGUGACUGACACCUAUUGAUCUGCUGUGUGCAAAUGAUAGUACUAUUUUUUAGAAAACUCUUAAGUAAAUUUUAAAAAUAUUUGAAUACAAAAUAUCUGAGCAAUUUUGAACUCAAAAGUUUUUCAUUGUUUUAAGGAUUGCCACAGGACUCUUUAAUGGUUUUUAAUGGACAUACAUGCCUAAUAUUUAUUGGUGUGUUUAAAAUAUUUUUUGAUAGAGUGUUAUGUCUUAAGCGCAUUAGAAAACAAUUGUUUGUAAUGGAAUCAAAGUGUUUCCCUGGACAGUUUGAUGUGCUUAUGGUUGAGAUUUAUAAUCUGCUUGUACUUUGCUUUUUAACUUAUUAACUGUAAAUAAAUUUUAGAGAAUACAUAGUGUCUAGUUUUUCUAAUGAUUUGAACAUUUUUGAAAUGGUAUUUUGUAUUUGUAUGUGACUCAGAAAACAUCUUAAUUUACAAUUUGAUAAAUUUUGACUUUUUUGUGAACUUCAAAUUCCCAGAAAUCUCGAGAUUUGUUUUUUGUGCUAUCUCGGGAGUCUGUGUUCCAUCAAUUCUUUAAUUAUCUAGCGAAUUUUUAGGAUGGCGCUACAAGCCCAACUUAUUAACCAGUUUGCCAGCAAUAAAAUAUCCUACAAAAAAAAAAUGCAUCAAAAUUCAGAAUUCUCUAAAUCCUGACCCGAGGUGCCCCUGUGACGAUGACAAAAGGUCUAAAGCUCUUGCUCUUUCAUGGCAUGAAAGGAAGUAAGAGUGCUCCAUUUGAGUACCAGUGGUAUGGGCUGUUCCACAGAAUAAGGGCAGGGCUAGAAUUUUCAUUAGAGUCUAGAAGGCAGAAGUGGAGUAUUAGUGAACAGCACAGCAAGAGCCGGAUUCAUAGAUAGUACUGUGUGGGCUGAAUUUGUCUUUGUACCUAAGUUCCUAUUAGUUGGAGGAAGCGUAGUGUAAUAGUUGUGGAGUCACAGUGCCUGGGGUGGAAUUAUUAUGCAUACCUUUGUGACUUGCAAGUGUUGAGACUGUAGGUAAGUUACUUAAAAUCUUUGUGCCUUGCUUCCUCAACUAUCAAAUGUGAUUAGUGAAAGAAACUAUUGGGAUAUUAUAAGGAUUAAUAACUACCCCUUUCAAAGGGUAGUAAUGCUAGACACAUAGGAAGUACUAAAUAAAUGCUCUUAAUUAUAGGUAUGCACAGUGAGAAUAGGUAUAUAAGCUGAGAGUGGUCCGUUGUGAGUUUAGCUCUCCAGGUUUCUCAGCAUCCCAAGAAUAUUGUGUGGCUCUGGGAAAGCUGUAAGAUAAAUGAAGAGAAGAGAAUUUGUGCAUGAAUAAAAUUGAAGACAUAAGGAAAUCAUAUAAUUUUUUAGCUUGCUGACUAUGCAGUAGGAGAUUGGAUUAAGUUGAUUUAUUACAAUUUUUGUUGUUGGAGUUUUUUUAAAGAUUCACAUCUUCUUUUGUUAUAUCUCUAUAAGACAUUUGAAUGUACUGUUAUGUGUUUUAAACUAUCUGAGAAUUUAUAACAGUAAUAGAUUUAAAGCUGUUGAUCCAAGAACUUACAAAAGUUUUGGACUACAUAUUUGCUUAGAGUAAGCUCAGUAAGUGUUGCUUAUAAAUGAUGUUAAUUUAUAUGCAUAGAACCAAGCUAUAGUUUGUAUAAAGUUUAUAAUUCAGGUGUUAAAGGAAACAAAGUGAGUACAAUAGCUGUGCUUGAAACACCAGAAAAUUAUUACUGAAAGUAAAAAAAAUCUUGUAUUUGAAGCAUUGACACACUCAUUUUUGGAUGUCAGAUAUAAAGCCUGUAAUUUAGGUUUAAUUCCUCAUAGCACAGAGAAUAGAACAUCCUCUAAAUUGGUGAACAAGCCAAAGUUGCAGUUAUCUGAAGUUGACACAAAAUAAUUUCCUGGAAAAUUAUUAGAUGAAAGUCAUACAAGAACAAGAAGCUAAAAAUUGAGCCUAAUUGCAGAUUUCACAGAAGUAAUGACUUCUCACUGUCAUCACUCUCUUGUGUCUUGGUAAAUGUCAUUCUAAACCAUGAUCUAUAACAUAAUAAACAUAUCUAAAGCCCAAUUGGAAAGUAAUAAUCAUAAAAACACCAAACACUAUGUUUAGCCCAGAAAAUUUGAAUAAGUAGUCUACUGAAUCCAAAACUGGACUUAUUUAGCUUCCGAAAGCAUUCAUAGAAAAGUUAAAUUGAGAUUCUUCCAAGUAGUACAAUUAACUGUAAAAUGUGUACAUAUUUCUCUUUUCAAGGAUUUUUUUCAAGUACAUAUUCUUUAAAGAGUACAGAAAAAAAAAGAGUGUGGCUUAGGGUUCUAAAUCUUACAGAGUAAAAAAAUUAUUGAAGCAAAAACAAAUGUAUAAAAAGUACAUAUAAACGUACAGUUUGAUGAAUUUUCAUAAAUUCAAUAGGCUCAUGGAACUAGCACUCAGAUUAAAAAAAUACAGUUAUGAGUACCCCUGAAGUCCUCCCUAACACCCCAUCAGCCAUUACCUACUCACCUUCUUGCCCAAGAUAACCAUUAUUUUGAUUUCUUACAGCAUAUUUUUUGCUUAUUUUUGAACUUUACAUAAAUGGAAUUAUUGGUCAUGUGUCUAGCUUCUUUCACUUGAAAUUAUGUUUGUGAGAUUCAUUUAUAUUGUUGUGUGUACUAUUAUUGUAGAUCAUUUAUUCUCAUUGGUGUAUAGAAUUCCACUGUGUGAAUAUUCCACAAUAUAUUUAUUCCAGUCUUGGUGGGCAUUUGGGUAGAUUCCAGUUUGGAACAAUUAUAAAUAAAGCUUUGAUGAAUAUUCUAAAACAUGUCUUUUGGUGAACAUAUGCAUGUAUUUUUUUUUGGAGUAUAUAUCUAGGAAUGAAUUUGCUGAGACACUGGGUCACAGCAAAUGAUCAUCUUUGGUAGAUACUGCCAAACAGUUUUCCAAAGUGGAUACAUGGACUUUUAUAAAACUGGCCUUCAAAAAGUUUGCUUUUUAUUAUUCUUCCUUUCUUCUUCAAAGCUAAAGAAGUUUUGUUCCUUCUGCUCUUAAAAUGAAAUGAAAAGACAUUUUCCCCCUAUGUUUUCCUAUAUUUUACAGCAGAGCUUUAGAAAAAAGUCUUUUAUGUAUUAAGUUGUUUUCUUCUCCAUCCUUUAUACAAAACCAGCUCUAAGAUUGGGAAUAACAUUAACUAUGUUAACCCAAGCCCAGCAAACUUAAACUGUCAUAAAACCGAGCAUUUGAGACUUGGGUUCAUAGUGUUCCUCUUCUAGUCCUUGGG